GAUGAACGCUAGCUACAGGCUUAACACAUGCAAGUCGCGGGGCAGCAUGUCGGUUGCUUGCAACCGAUGAUGGCGACCGGCGCACGGGUGAGUAACGCGUAUCCAACCUGCCCUUCACCACGGAAUAAUCCAGUGAAAAUUGGUCUAAUACCGUAUGAGGUCAUACGAUGGCAUCAGAAUAUGACGAAAGGUUUAGCGGUGAAGGAUGGGGAUGCGUCUGAUUAGCUUGUUGGUGAGGUAACGGCUCACCAAGGCGACGAUCAGUAGGGGUUCUGAGAGGAAGGUCCCCCACAUUGGAACUGAGACACGGUCCAAACUCCUACGGGAGGCAGCAGUGAGGAAUAUUGGUCAAUGGGCGAGAGCCUGAACCAGCCAAGUAGCGUGCAGGACGACGGCCCUAUGGGUUGAAACUGCUUUUAUAAGGGAUAAAGUGAUGCCUGCGGCGUUAUUGCAUGUACCGUACGAA
RNAcentral lists this ribosomal RNA (466 nucleotides) under uncultured bacterium. RNAcentral's name for it is "bacterial SSU rRNA". It matches the Rfam family "Bacterial small subunit ribosomal RNA", at positions 28 to 486 of the family's 1533-position model. The record is from RNAcentral.